AUUGAAGGAAUCAGCGUGUGCUCUUCAUUUCCGACAGGAUUGGGUAACCCUUUGAACCUCCUCCGUGCUGGGGAUAGGGGCUUGAAGUUGUUCCCCUUGAAA
RNAcentral lists this ribosomal RNA (102 nucleotides) under Stegodyphus mimosarum. RNAcentral describes it as "eukaryotic small subunit ribosomal RNA". The record is from RNAcentral. Lineage: Eukaryota; Metazoa; Arthropoda; Arachnida; Araneae; Eresidae.